RNAcentral lists this ribosomal RNA (459 nucleotides) under uncultured bacterium. Its description in RNAcentral is "partial 16S ribosomal RNA". It matches the Rfam family "Bacterial small subunit ribosomal RNA", at positions 338 to 795 of the family's 1533-position model. The record is from RNAcentral.
CCUACGGGUGGCAGCAGUGAGGAAUAUUGGUCAAUGGCCGGAAGGCUGAACCAGCCAAGCCGCGUGAAGGACGAAGGUGCCAAGCAUUGUAAACUUCUUUUGUCAAGGAACAAAAUCAGGCUCGAGAGCCUGACCGAGGGUACUUGAAGAAAAAGCAUCGGCUAACUCCGUGCCAGCAGCCGCGGUAAUACGGAGGAUGCGAGCGUUAUCCGGAUUUAUUGGGUUUAAGGGGUGCGUAGGGGGAUGGUUAAGUCAGCGGUAAAAGGUCGGGGCUAAACCCCGGAGAGCCGUUGAAACUGGCUGUCUUGAGAUGUCGAGAGGUAUGCGGAAUGCGCAGUGUAGCGGUGAAAUGCUUAGAUAUUGCGCAGAACUCCGAUUGCGAAGGCAGCAUACCGGCGGCGAUCUGACGCUGAGGCACGAAAGCGUGGGUAUCGAACAGGAUUAGAUACCCCGGUAGUC